GUGCCAGCAGCCGCGGUAAUACGUAGGGUGCGAGCGUUAAUCGGAAUUACUGGGCGUAAAGCGUGCGCAGGCGGUUAUGUAAGACAGAUGUGAAAUCCCCGGGCUCAACCUGGGAACUGCAUUUGUGACUGCAUGGCUAGAGUACGGUAGAGGGGGAUGGAAUUCCGCGUGUAGCAGUGAAAUGCGUAGAUAUGCGGAGGAACACCGAUGGCGAAGGCAAUCCCCUGGACCUGUACUGACGCUCAUGCACGAAAGCGUGGGGAGCAAACAGGAUUAGAUACCCUUGUAGUCC
RNAcentral lists this ribosomal RNA (292 nucleotides) under uncultured Delftia sp. RNAcentral's name for it is "partial 16S ribosomal RNA". It matches the Rfam family "Bacterial small subunit ribosomal RNA", at positions 505 to 796 of the family's 1533-position model. The record is from RNAcentral. Lineage: Bacteria; Pseudomonadati; Pseudomonadota; Betaproteobacteria; Burkholderiales; Comamonadaceae.